AUACGUAGGGGGCAAGCGUUAUCCGGAAUGAUUGGGCGUAAAGGGCGUGUAGGCGGAGAUGCAAGUCAGGAGUGAAAUCUAGGGGCUCAACCCCUAAACUGCUUUUGAAACUGUAUCCCUUGAGUAUCGGAGAGGCAGGCGGAAUUCCUAGUGUAGCGGUGAAAUGCGUAGAUAUUAGGAGGAACACCAGUGGCGAAGGCGGCCUGCUGGACGACAACUGACGCUGAGGCGCGAAAGCGUGGGGAGCAAACAGGAUUAGAUACCCUGGUAGUCCACGCUGUAAACGAUGAAUACUAGGUGUGGGGGGACUGACCCCCUCCGUGCCGCAGUUAACACAAUAAGUAUUCCACCUGGGGAGUACGAUCGCAAGAUUGAAACUCAAAGGAAUUGGCGGG
This 395-nucleotide ribosomal RNA is filed under the name uncultured bacterium. Its description in RNAcentral is "partial 16S ribosomal RNA". It matches the Rfam family "Bacterial small subunit ribosomal RNA", at positions 523 to 917 of the family's 1533-position model. The record is from RNAcentral.